RNAcentral lists this ribosomal RNA (398 nucleotides) under uncultured bacterium. Its description in RNAcentral is "partial 16S ribosomal RNA". It matches the Rfam family "Bacterial small subunit ribosomal RNA", at positions 360 to 776 of the family's 1533-position model. The record is from RNAcentral.
AAUAUUGCACAAUGGAGGAAACUCUGAUGCAGCGCCGCCGCGUGAACGAUGAAGGCCUUCGGGUCGUAAAGUUCCGUCCUAGGGGACGAUAAUGACGGUACCCUAGGAGGAAGCCCCGGCUAACUACGUGCCAGCAGCCGCGGUAAUACGUAGGGGGCGAGCGUUGUCCGGAAUUAUUGGGCGUAAAGGGUUCGUAGGCGGUCUUUUAAGUCAGAUGUGAAAUGUCACGGCGCAACCGUGGUAAACAGUUGAAACUGAAAGACUUGAGUUAAGGAGAGGAAAGUGGAAUACCUAGUGUAGCGGUGAAAUGCGUAGAUAUUAGGAGGAAUACCAGUGGCGAAGACGACUUUCUGGACUUAUACUGACGCUGAGGAGCGAAGGCGUGGUGAGCAAACAGG